AGGGGAUAUAACUUCUACCAUGCUAAAGAAUAAGAGUGGUUCAGCAUUUCUUUCAGAAAAAGAAAUACCUUGGUAAAGAUACUGAUGCAUUUAAUGUGGAAUUUAUGAAGUUCGAUAGGUAGAAGAACUGACACAAUCUAAUGAAUUCAUAGAAUCAGAUUGGAUCAGAUCAAACUCAGAACCCAUUGUAGAGGCACCAUUAAGGAGAUUCGAUAGAGUACCGCAUCCAUCGGAU
RNAcentral lists this long non-coding RNA (235 nucleotides) under Elaeis guineensis (African oil palm). RNAcentral describes it as "long non-coding RNA (EGUI_LNC038308)". The record is from RNAcentral. Lineage: Eukaryota; Viridiplantae; Streptophyta; Magnoliopsida; Arecales; Arecaceae.